This 388-nucleotide ribosomal RNA is filed under the name uncultured bacterium. RNAcentral describes it as "bacterial SSU rRNA". It matches the Rfam family "Bacterial small subunit ribosomal RNA", at positions 29 to 416 of the family's 1533-position model. The record is from RNAcentral.
AUUAAACGCUGGCGGCAUGCCUUACACAUGCAAGUCGAACGGCAGCACGGGGCGAACCCUGGUGGCGAGUGGCGGACGGGUGAGUAAAGCAUCGGAACGUAUCCUGGAGUGGGGGAGUAACGUAGCGAAAGUUACGCUAAUACCGCAUAUUCUGUGAGCAGGAAAGCAGGGGAUCGCAAGACCUUGCGCUCUGGGAGCGGCCGAUGUCGGAUUAGCUAGUUGGUGGGGUAAAGGCCUACCCAAGGCGACGAUCCGUAGCGGGUCUGAGAGGAUGAUCCGCCACACUGGGACUGAGGCACGGCCCAGACUCCUACGGGAGGCAGCAGUGGGGAAUUUUGGACAAUGGGCGGAAGCCUGAUCCAGCCAUGCCGCGUGAGUGAAGAAGGCC